RNAcentral lists this signal recognition particle RNA (297 nucleotides) under Propithecus coquereli (Coquerel's sifaka). RNAcentral describes it as "Metazoan signal recognition particle RNA (ENSPCOG00000001982.1)". It matches the Rfam family "Metazoan signal recognition particle RNA". Rfam says of the family: The signal recognition particle (SRP) is a universally conserved ribonucleoprotein. It is involved in the co-translational targeting of proteins to membranes. Lineage: Eukaryota; Metazoa; Chordata; Mammalia; Primates; Indriidae. The record is from RNAcentral.
GCCGGACGCGGUGGCGCGCCUGUAGUCCCAGCUAUUCGGGAGGCUGAGACGGGGGGAUCGCUUGAGCCCAGGUGUUCUGGACUGCAGUGCGCUACGCCGAUCGGGUGUCCGCACUAAGUUCGGCAUCGAUAUGGUGACCUCCCGGGAGCGGGGGACCACCAGGUUGCCUAAGGAGGGGUGAACCGGCCCAGGUCGGAAACGGAGCAGGUCAAAACUCCCGUGCUGAUCAGUAGUGGGAUCGCGCCUGUGAAUAGCCACUGCACUCCAGCCUGGGCAACAUAGCGAGACCCCGUCUCA